RNAcentral lists this ribosomal RNA (492 nucleotides) under uncultured bacterium. RNAcentral's name for it is "bacterial SSU rRNA". It matches the Rfam family "Bacterial small subunit ribosomal RNA", at positions 20 to 507 of the family's 1533-position model. The record is from RNAcentral.
UGGCUCAGAACGACGCUGGCGGCGCGCCUAAUACAUGCAAGUCGAGCGAGAAGGUGUAGCAAUACACUUGUAAAGCGGCGAACGGGUGAGGAAUACAUGGGUAAUCUACCAUCGAGUGGGGAAUAACCAGCCGAAAGGUUGGCUAAUACCGCGUACGCUUCCGAGUCUUCGGGCUUGGAAGGAAAGCCGCACUGUGAGUGCGGCGCUCUUUGAUGAGCUCAUGUCCUAUCAGCUUGUUGGUAGGGUAACGGCCUACCAAGGCUUUGACGGGUAGCUGGUCUGAGAGGACGAUCAGCCACACUGGCACUGCGACGCGGGCCAGACUCCUACGGGAGGCAGCAGUAAGGAAUAUUGCGCAAUAGGCGAAAGCCUGACGCAGCGACGCCGCGUGGGGGAUGAAGGUCUUCGGAUUGUAAACCCCUUUCGGGAGGGAAGAUGGAGCGAGCAAUCGUUCGGACGGUACCUCCAGAAGCAGCCACGGCCAACUUCGUG